RNAcentral lists this ribosomal RNA (503 nucleotides) under uncultured bacterium. RNAcentral's name for it is "partial 16S ribosomal RNA". It matches the Rfam family "Bacterial small subunit ribosomal RNA", at positions 30 to 523 of the family's 1533-position model. The record is from RNAcentral.
AUUGAACGCUGGCGGCAGGCUUAACACAUGCAAGUCGAGCGGGGUGAUGGUGCUUGCACUAUCACUUAGCGGCGGACGGGUGAGUAAUGCUUAGGAAUCUGCCUAUUAGUGGGGGACAACAUCUCGAAAGGGAUGCUAAUACCGCAUACGUCCUACGGGAGAAAGCAGGGGAUCACUUGUGACCUUGCGCUAAUAGAUGAGCCUAAGUCGGAUUAGCCAGUUGGUGGGGUAAAGGCCUACCAAGGCGACGAUCUGUAGCGGGUCUGAGAGGAUGAUCCGCCACACUGGGACUGAGACACGGCCCAGACUCCUACGGGAGGCAGCAGUGGGGAAUAUUGGACAAUGGGGGGAACCCUGAUCCAGCCACGCCGCGUGUGUGAAGAAGGCCUUAUGGUUGUAAAGCACUUUAAGCGAGGAGGAGGCUCUUUUGGUUAAUACCCAAGAUGAGUGGACGUUACUCGCAGAAUAAGCACCGGCUAACUCUGUGCCAGCCGCCGCGGUAA